This 1760-nucleotide long non-coding RNA is filed under the name Marmota monax (woodchuck). Lineage: Eukaryota; Metazoa; Chordata; Mammalia; Rodentia; Sciuridae. The record is from RNAcentral.
GUCCCGGCCACGCUCGAGGCCUGCUGCGCCUGAAAUGUCCCCGCGCCCUCUCCGCCUGUUCUGCGAGGCCCUCUCCAGAUCAAGUCCUGGGGACACGUUUUCUCAGACCCUUCUCAGGAAGGUCGCGUCGCGGCUCGGAGCGGGAGACGCAGCAGAAUCACCUGGCCUGCUUCUCUGCCCAGGCGGCUCCAGAAAGAGGGAGGAGAGACCAGAUUCACUUUUAAGCUUUUAAAAGCCCCAGUUUUCUCCCCCAGACCCAACUCUUGUUAACAAGUUAGCGCACACCUGUGUGCACUCGCCUUCCGAUGUGGACCCGCGAACCUGCUUGAGGGAAGGGGCUCAGAAGGAGUGGGCAGCAGGGCCGGUGGGUUUCCUGGGGUACAGCAGAAGGAAACGGAAGCCUGAGUAAAGGCUAGAAGUCGCUGUGGGAGAAACUCCACAGGUUUAAAGUCAAAGGUGAACAGAAUGCCAAGCUUGGUGGAUAACAUCUCAGGCUCAUAGAAACGACUCUCUAAGGGGAUGAAAUGCCUGGCUUUUAGUAGCUGGCUUCUCAGUGUAACAUUGUUUUGAAAAGCUGACAUGGUCAGGUGCAGUGGCACAUGCCUGAAAUCCAAGCUACUCAGGAGGCUUAGGCAGGAGGAUGGCAAACCUGGCAACUUAGUAAGGGCUGGGGAUGUAUCUCCAUGGUAGACUGCUCCUGUGUUUAAUGCCCAGUUCCCCAACAAAAUUCUGGAUUCCCCAACAAUUCUGGAUUCUACAACCCUCACUGAAUUGGAGAAGAUAAUUUUAAGCUACAUAAGCAACAGUGGGAUUUAUGGAAUUUAUCAUAGGGAAUGAUUAUAAUUUUCCUAGUAACAACUUCACAGAUGAGAAUGGCAGCCAAUUAGUAGUGUUCCGAGACUAAAGUUUGAAUAUUUUAAUAUAGACGGAUUUUACAUGCCACCUGGAACCCUGUGACCUAUCUCCCAGAACAGGACAUUGGGACAGUCUUCGUUUGCUCUGUUUCCCCAAAGGAAUGCCUGAAGACGCCUGUAUCUGGCCCGGGGAGCAUUCUCCCAAUCUCAAGGCAGACAGUCACUUGCUAGCCAUCAGCUUCUGAAAACCACAGGACUGGGUGGGCAGAGGGGCUUUAAAGCUGAACCACCUGGCCUGUGUCUCAGCUCUGCUGGUCACUGUGGGAUCUUGAACAGGUUACUUAGCUAGGCUCUCAAGGAGUCGCAGUAAAAUACACCAUCGAUAAUGACGUGCCCCAUAAAGCAGAGGACCCGAGGGUGAGCCCGGUGUCCAGGAAGUCCCAUAAAAAUCACACCAACACCCACCUUACUGCUUUAUCAGUCCCCUAGCAGGCACCCCCACUCAAGACACCCAGCCUCCUCCACAGCAAGAAGAAGGCGGGUUAAAAGGCUGAGAACUGGGGUGAGCCAGCCAGAGAGACUGGGGACAACUGAAGGAAGAGAAUAAAGUAUCCUCCACAAAAACUGGAGAGGGUCAAGGAGGUGGACGAUGCUGGGACACUGCCAGGAAAUAAGAAGCACAUCACUACAGCAGAACAGGGACAAGUGCACAGAGAUGCCAGAGCCACUGGGCAGCAGCACAGUAACACACUUCUGGAUGGAGGAUGCCCUUUUGUGCUGGGGGUCAGCCCAGGCUACGGCACGGUGGCUGACCUCUGUGCCAUGCCUAGUUCUAGGGGAAAUGUGAGAGUCUCUGCCGAGGCUUGCUACAUCCCCUGGUGAUGGUAUUUAGGUCCCAGGGGCCCA